GACGAACGCUGGCGGCGUGCUUAACACAUGCAAGUCGAGCGGGAAACUUCGGUUUCCAGCGGCGGACGGGUGAGUAACACGUGGGCAACCUGCCUCACAAUGAGGGAUAGCCUUCCGAAAGGAAGAUUAAUACCUCAUAACACAAGAGAAACGCAUGUUUCUUUUGCCAAAGAAUUUCGUUGUGAGAUGGGCCCGCGGCGCAUUAGCUUGUUGGUGAGGUAACGGCUCACCAAGACUUCGAUGCGUAGCCGACCUGAGAGGGUGAUCGGCCACAUUGGAACUGAGACACGGUCCAGACUCCUACGGGAGGCAGCAGUGGGGAAUAUUGCACAAUGGAGGAAACUCUGAUGCAGCAACGCCGCGUGAGUGAUGAAGGUCUUCGGAUUGUAAAGCUCUGUCUUCUGGGACGAUAAUGACGGUACCAGAGGAGGAAGCCAUGGCUAACUACGUGCCAGCCGCCGCAGUAA
Molecule: ribosomal RNA, 467 nt
Filed under: uncultured bacterium
Lineage: Bacteria
Description: partial 16S ribosomal RNA
Rfam family: Bacterial small subunit ribosomal RNA
Source: RNAcentral